RNAcentral lists this transfer RNA (64 nucleotides) under unidentified. Its description in RNAcentral is "Epeorus unispinosus tRNA-Phe". The record is from RNAcentral.
GCUUAAAUAGCUUAUAAAGAGCAUGACAUUGAAGAUGUCAGGGAGACCUCUGGGUCUUUGAGCA